Molecule: transfer RNA, 72 nt
Filed under: Camelus bactrianus (Bactrian camel)
Lineage: Eukaryota; Metazoa; Chordata; Mammalia; Artiodactyla; Camelidae
Also listed under: 2 other names
Rfam family: tRNA
About the family: Transfer RNA (tRNA) molecules are approximately 80 nucleotides in length. Their secondary structure includes four short double-helical elements and three loops (D, anti-codon, and T loops).
Source: Rfam by way of RNAcentral
GAAGGUAUAGCUCAGUGGUAGAGUGCAUGCUUAGCAUGCAGGAGGUCCUGGGUUCAAUCCCCAGUACCUCCA